This 2905-nucleotide ribosomal RNA is filed under the name Escherichia coli. RNAcentral's name for it is "23S ribosomal RNA". It matches the Rfam family "Bacterial large subunit ribosomal RNA". Lineage: Bacteria; Pseudomonadati; Pseudomonadota; Gammaproteobacteria; Enterobacterales; Enterobacteriaceae. The record is from RNAcentral.
GGUUAAGCGACUAAGCGUACACGGUGGAUGCCCUGGCAGUCAGAGGCGAUGAAGGACGUGCUAAUCUGCGAUAAGCGUCGGUGAGGUGAUAUGAACCGUUAUAACCGGCGAUUUCCGAAUGGGGAAACCCAGUGUGUUUCGACACACUAUCAUUAACUGAAUCCAUAGGUUAAUGAGGCGAACCGGGGGAACUGAAACAUCUAAGUACCCCGAGGAAAAGAAAUCAACCGAGAUUCCCCCAGUAGCGGCGAGCGAACGGGGAGGAGCCCAGAGCCUGAAUCAGUGUGUGUGUUAGUGGAAGCGUCUGGAAAGGCGCGCGAUACAGGGUGACAGCCCCGUACACAAAAAUGCACAUAUUGUGAGCUCGAUGAGUAGGGCGGGACACGUGGUAUCCUGUCUGAAUAUGGGGGGACCAUCCUCCAAGGCUAAAUACUCCUGACUGACCGAUAGUGAACCAGUACCGUGAGGGAAAGGCGAAAAGAACCCCGGCGAGGGGAGUGAAAAAGAACCUGAAACCGUGUACGUACAAGCAGUGGGAGCCUCUUAAUGGGGUGACUGCGUACCUUUUGUAUAAUGGGUCAGCGACUUAUAUUCUGUAGCAAGGUUAACCGAAUAGGGGAGCCGAAGGGAAACCGAGUCUUAACUGGGCGUUAAGUUGCAGGGUAUAGACCCGAAACCCGGUGAUCUAGCCAUGGGCAGGUUGAAGGUUGGGUAACACUAACUGGAGGACCGAACCGACUAAUGUUGAAAAAUUAGCGGAUGACUUGUGGCUGGGGGUGAAAGGCCAAUCAAACCGGGAGAUAGCUGGUUCUCCCCGAAAGCUAUUUAGGUAGCGCCUCGUGAAUUCAUCUCCGGGGGUAGAGCACUGUUUCGGCAAGGGGGUCAUCCCGACUUACCAACCCGAUGCAAACUGCGAAUACCGGAGAAUGUUAUCACGGGAGACACACGGCGGGUGCUAACGUCCGUCGUGAAGAGGGAAACAACCCAGACCGCCAGCUAAGGUCCCAAAGUCAUGGUUAAGUGGGAAACGAUGUGGGAAGGCCCAGACAGCCAGGAUGUUGGCUUAGAAGCAGCCAUCAUUUAAAGAAAGCGUAAUAGCUCACUGGUCGAGUCGGCCUGCGCGGAAGAUGUAACGGGGCUAAACCAUGCACCGAAGCUGCGGCAGCGACGCUUAUGCGUUGUUGGGUAGGGGAGCGUUCUGUAAGCCUGUGAAGGUGUGCUGUGAGGCAUGCUGGAGGUAUCAGAAGUGCGAAUGCUGACAUAAGUAACGAUAAAGCGGGUGAAAAGCCCGCUCGCCGGAAGACCAAGGGUUCCUGUCCAACGUUAAUCGGGGCAGGGUGAGUCGACCCCUAAGGCGAGGCCGAAAGGCGUAGUCGAUGGGAAACAGGUUAAUAUUCCUGUACUUGGUGUUACUGCGAAGGGGGGACGGAGAAGGCUAUGUUGGCCGGGCGACGGUUGUCCCGGUUUAAGCGUGUAGGCUGGUUUUCCAGGCAAAUCCGGAAAACCAAGGCUGAGGCGUGAUGACGAGGCACUACGGUGCUGAAGCGACAAAUGCCCUGCUUCCAGGAAAAGCCUCUAAGCAUCAGGUAACAUCAAAUCGUACCCCAAACCGACACAGGUGGUCAGGUAGAGAAUACCAAGGCGCUUGAGAGAACUCGGGUGAAGGAACUAGGCAAAAUGGUGCCGUAACUUCGGGAGAAGGCACGCUGAUAUGUAGGUGAAGCGACUUGCUCGUGGAGCUGAAAUCAGUCGAAGAUACCAGCUGGCUGCAACUGUUUAUUAAAAACACAGCACUGUGCAAACACGAAAGUGGACGUAUACGGUGUGACGCCUGCCCGGUGCCGGAAGGUUAAUUGAUGGGGUUAGCGGUAACGCGAAGCUCUUGAUCGAAGCCCCGGUAAACGGCGGCCGUAACUAUAACGGUCCUAAGGUAGCGAAAUUCCUUGUCGGGUAAGUUCCGACCUGCACGAAUGGCGUAAUGAUGGCCAGGCUGUCUCCACCCGAGACUCAGUGAAAUUGAACUCGCUGUGAAGAUGCAGUGUACCCGCGGCAAGACGGAAAGACCCCGUGAACCUUUACUAUAGCUUGACACUGAACAUUGAGCCUUGAUGUGUAGGAUAGGUGGGAGGCUUUGAAGUGUGGACGCCAGUCUGCAUGGAGCCGACCUUGAAAUACCACCCUUUAAUGUUUGAUGUUCUAACGUGGGCCCCUAAUCGGGGUUGCGGACAGUGUCUGGUGGGUAGUUUGACUGGGGCGGUCUCCUCCUAAAGAGUAACGGAGGAGCACGAAGGUUGGCUAAUCCUGGUCGGACAUCAGGAGGUUAGUGCAAUGGCAUAAGCCAGCUUGACUGCGAGCGUGACGGCGCGAGCAGGUGCGAAAGCAGGUCAUAGUGAUCCGGUGGUUCUGAAUGGAAGGGCCAUCGCUCAACGGAUAAAAGGUACUCCGGGGAUAACAGGCUGAUACCGCCCAAGAGUUCAUAUCGACGGCGGUGUUUGGCACCUCGAUGUCGGCUCAUCACAUCCUGGGGCUGAAGUAGGUCCCAAGGGUAUGGCUGUUCGCCAUUUAAAGUGGUACGCGAGCUGGGUUUAGAACGUCGUGAGACAGUUCGGUCCCUAUCUGCCGUGGGCGCUGGAGAACUGAGGGGGGCUGCUCCUAGUACGAGAGGACCGGAGUGGACGCAUCACUGGUGUUCGGGUUGUCAUGCCAAUGGCACUGCCCGGUAGCUAAAUGCGGAAGAGAUAAGUGCUGAAAGCAUCUAAGCACGAAACUUGCCCCGAGAUGAGUUCUCCCUGAGACUUAGAGUCUCCUGAAGGAACGUUGAAGACGACGACGUUGAUAGGCCGGGUGUGUAAGCGCAGCGAUGCGUUGAGCUAACCGGUACUAAUGAACCGUGAGGCUUAACCUU